AAAUUGAAGAGUUUGAUCAUGGCUCAGAUUGAACGCUGGCGGCAGGCCUAACACAUGCAAGUCGAACGGUAACAGGAAACAGCUUGCUGUUUCGCUGACGAGUGGCGGACGGGUGAGUAAUGUCUGGGAAACUGCCUGAUGGAGGGGGAUAACUACUGGAAACGGUAGCUAAUACCGCAUAACGUCGCAAGACCAAAGAGGGGGACCUUCGGGCCUCUUGCCAUCGGAUGUGCCCAGAUGGGAUUAGCUAGUUGGUGGGGUAACGGCUCACCAAGGCGACGAUCCCUAGCUGGUCUGAGAGGAUGACCAGCCACACUGGAACUGAGACACGGUCCAGACUCCUACGGGAGGCAGCAGUGGGGAAUAUUGCACAAUGGGCGCAAGCCUGAUGCAGCCAUGCCGCGUGUAUGAAGAAGGCCUUCGGGUUGUAAAGUACUUUCAGCGGGGAGGAAGGGAGUAAAGUUAAUACCUUUGCUCAUUGACGUUACCCGCAGAAGAAGCACCGGCUAACUCCGUGCCAGCAGCCGCGGUAAUACGGAGGGUGCAAGCGUUAAUCGGAAUUACUGGGCGUAAAGCGCACGCAGGCGGUUUGUUAAGUCAGAUGUGAAAUCCCCGGGCUCAACCUGGGAACUGCAUCUGAUACUGGCAAGCUUGAGUCUCGUAGAGGGGGGUAGAAUUCCAGGUGUAGCGGUGAAAUGCGUAGAGAUCUGGAGGAAUACCGGUGGCGAAGGCGGCCCCCUGGACGAAGACUGACGCUCAGGUGCGAAAGCGUGGGGAGCAAACAGGAUUAGAUACCCUGGUAGUCCACGCCGUAAACGAUGUCGACUUGGAGGUUGUGCCCUUGAGGCGUGGCUUCCGGAGCUAACGCGUUAAGUCGACCGCCUGGGGAGUACGGCCGCAAGGUUAAAACUCAAAUGAAUUGACGGGGGCCCGCACAAGCGGUGGAGCAUGUGGUUUAAUUCGAUGCAACGCGAAGAACCUUACCUGGUCUUGACAUCCACGGAAGUUUUCAGAGAUGAGAAUGUGCCUUCGGGAACCGUGAGACAGGUGCUGCAUGGCUGUCGUCAGCUCGUGUUGUGAAAUGUUGGGUUAAGUCCCGCAACGAGCGCAACCCUUAUCCUUUGUUGCCAGCGGUCCGGCCGGGAACUCAAAGGAGACUGCCAGUGAUAAACUGGAGGAAGGUGGGGAUGACGUCAAGUCAUCAUGGCCCUUACGACCAGGGCUACACACGUGCUACAAUGGCGCAUACAAAGAGAAGCGACCUCGCGAGAGCAAGCGGACCUCAUAAAGUGCGUCGUAGUCCGGAUUGGAGUCUGCAACUCGACUCCAUGAAGUCGGAAUCGCUAGUAAUCGUGGAUCAGAAUGCCACGGUGAAUACGUUCCCGGGCCUUGUACACACCGCCCGUCACACCAUGGGAGUGGGUUGCAAAAGAAGUAGGUAGCUUAACCUUCGGGAGGGCGCUUACCACUUUGUGAUUCAUGACUGGGGUGAAGUCGUAACAAGGUAACCGUAGGGGAACCUGCGGUUGGAUCACCUCCUUA
This 1542-nucleotide ribosomal RNA is filed under the name Escherichia coli. Its description in RNAcentral is "bacterial SSU rRNA". It matches the Rfam family "Bacterial small subunit ribosomal RNA". The record is from RNAcentral. Lineage: Bacteria; Pseudomonadati; Pseudomonadota; Gammaproteobacteria; Enterobacterales; Enterobacteriaceae.